GAGUUUGAUCCUGGCUUAGAGAGAGCGCUGGCGGCAGGCCUAACACAUGCAAGUCGAACGGUAACAGAACUAGCUUGCUAGUUGCUGACGAGUGGCGGACGGGUGAGUAAUACUUAGGGAUCUGCCUCUGUGUGGGGGAUAACUAUUGGAAACGAUAGCUAAUACCGCAUAACGUCUACGGACCAAAGAGGGCUUCGGCUCUCGCGCAGAGAGGAACCUAAGCGAGAUUAGCUUGUUGGUGAGGUAAAGGCUCACCAAGGCGACGAUCUCUAGCUGUUCUGAGAGGAAGAUCAGCCACACUGGAACUGAGACACGGUCCAGACUCCUACGGGAGGCAGCAGUGAGGAAUAUUGCACAAUGUGGGCAACCCUGAUGCAGCCAUGCCGCGUGUGUGAAGAAGCCUUCGGGUUGUAAGCACUUUCAGUUGUGAG
Molecule: ribosomal RNA, 431 nt
Filed under: uncultured Gammaproteobacteria bacterium
Lineage: Bacteria; Pseudomonadati; Pseudomonadota; Gammaproteobacteria
Description: bacterial SSU rRNA
Rfam family: Bacterial small subunit ribosomal RNA
Source: RNAcentral